This 199-nucleotide long non-coding RNA is filed under the name Elaeis guineensis (African oil palm). RNAcentral's name for it is "long non-coding RNA (EGUI_LNC014123)". The record is from RNAcentral. Lineage: Eukaryota; Viridiplantae; Streptophyta; Magnoliopsida; Arecales; Arecaceae.
UCCUGAUAUUGAAAAUGACAUAACUGAUCUUGUACUGCUCAAUUUCGUUGAGAGUGCCAAAAGACUCGUUCAAUAUCUUGAGCAUAUCUUCUAGCUGAGCUUUCUCAAAUUUAUGGCUGAACUCAUUGUUCACGGCCGUCCACAUGAUACAGUGCACCAUGGUGCGAUCGUUGAGCAACUUCAGGUAAGUAUCUCAAAU